AAUAUUGGACAAUGGGGGCAACCCUGACCAAGCCAUGCCGCGUGGGGGAAGAAGGUCUUGGGAUUGUAAAGCACUUUAAGUUGGGAGGAGGGCCUUUAGGUAAAUACCCUGAAGUUUUGACGUUACCAACAGAAUAAGCACCGCCUACCUCGGUGCAAGCAGCCGCGGUAAUACAGAGGGUGCAAGCGUUAAUCGGAAUUACUGGGCGUAAAGCGCGCGUAGGUGGUUCAGUAAGAUGGGUGUGAAAUCCCCGGGCUUAACCUGGGAACUGCUUUCAUAACUGCUGAGCUAGAGUACGGUAGAGGGUAGUGGAAUUUCCUGUGUAGCGGUGAAAUGCGUAGAUAUAGGAAGGAACACCAGUGGCGAAGGCGACUACCUGGACUGAUACUGACACUGAGGUGCGAAAGCGUGGGGAGCAAAC
RNAcentral lists this ribosomal RNA (421 nucleotides) under uncultured bacterium. RNAcentral's name for it is "partial 16S ribosomal RNA". It matches the Rfam family "Bacterial small subunit ribosomal RNA", at positions 360 to 773 of the family's 1533-position model. The record is from RNAcentral.